GUGCUCUUCAUUGAGUGUCGAGGUGGGCCGGCACGUUUACUUUGAACAAAUUUGAGUGCUCCAAGCAGGCGGUGUUUCGCCUGAAGACAAGUGCAUGGAAUAAUGGAAUAGGGCUUCGGUUCUAUUUUGUUGGUUUUCUGAACCAGAAGCAAUGAUAAAUGGAGACAGGCGGGGGCAUUCGUAUUACGACGUUAGAGGUGAAAUUCUUGGAUCGUCGUAAGACGGACUGAAGCGAAAGCAUUUGCCAAGGAUGUUCUCGUUGAUCAAGAACGAAAGUCAGAGGUUCGAAGGCGAUCAGAUACCGCCCUAGUUCUGACCAUAAACGAUGUCAACUAGCCAUUUGCCGAAGGUUCUCUGAUGCCUCGGCAAGCAGCUUCCGGGAAACCAAAGUCUUUGGAUUCCGGGGGAAGUAUGGUUGCAAAGCUGAAACUUAAAGGAAUUGACGGAAGGGCACCACCAGGAGUGGAGCCUGCGGCUUAAUUUGACUCAACACGGGAAAUCUCACCAGGCCCAGACACUGGAAGGAUUGACAGAUUGAGAGCUCUUUCUUGAUUCAGUGGGUGGUGGUGCAUGGCCGUUCUUAGUUGGUGGAGCGAUUUGUCUGCUUAAUUGCGAUAACGAACGAGACUCUAGCCUACUAAAUAGUCGGAUCCGGCUUCCUUGUGCAGCCGGCGAAGACAAAUCUUCUUAGAGGGACAGGCGGCUUCUAGCCGCACGAGAUUGAGCAAUAACAGGUCUGUGAUGCCCUUAGAUGUUCUGGGCCGCACGCGCGCUACAAUGAAGGUAUCAGCGUGUCUUCCCUGGCCGAGAGGCCCGGGCAACCCGCUGAACCACCUUCGUGCUUGGGAUUGGGGCUUGAAAUUGUUCCCCAUGAACGAGGAAUUCCCAGUAAAGGCGUGUCAUCAGCACGCCUUGAUUACGUCCCUGCCCUUUGUACACACCGCCCGUCGCUACUACCGAUUGAAUGAUUUAGUGAGCUCUUCGGACUGGCGCGCGGCGAUCCUUCGGGAUUGCCGAUGUCGUCGAGAAGAUGAGCAAACUUGAUCAUUUAGAGGAAGUAAAAGUCGUAACAAGGUUGCUGUAGGUGAACCUGCAGCAG
The sequence is a ribosomal RNA, 1099 nucleotides long. It matches the Rfam family "Eukaryotic small subunit ribosomal RNA", at positions 716 to 1823 of the family's 1831-position model.